RNAcentral lists this non-coding RNA (2056 nucleotides) under Pan troglodytes (chimpanzee). Lineage: Eukaryota; Metazoa; Chordata; Mammalia; Primates; Hominidae. The record is from RNAcentral.
GGAGUUCUGCCCCUGCCAAGGGGUGCUGGCCACGCAGGAGGCUUAACCUGGCCGGCGCGGGAAUGGGGUGCAGAGAGCAAAGAAAUGUGGCUUUGAUCUUAUGGAUGCCUUACUUUUACAUUAUUUGUACAGUUCUUGCAGUGAGCUUUCCGGACCACUGUCUUGUAUGUUUCCUAAGAAAAGCAAAAAGGGAAGAGAUUGAAGAGAAAGUAGAUUUUCAACUACAAACUUUCAUCCAUUUGCUUUCAGCUUAAGCAAAUGUGCGCAAAGUUGUCAUGGAUUUUUGCAGUCAAUAAAAACCAAGCAAGAAGACUGAAUCCCAAGUCAUCUGGUAUAAAUGGAAGCAGUUUCUGUGAUAGUUCCACGCGGUCAGAAGGGUCAUCCUGGCUUAGGAGAGGGGCAGAAGAGGAAAUGCAUGCGUGGAAACAGGAGUGGGCAGGGAGGAUGUGACACUGUCCUCCUCACCAGGCCACGUUCCUGGCACCAACCAUAGUGUUUGUGAGGGUCAAUUUAAUUGUUCUUGUGCUCUCAUAGAGGAAGCUGUGUCUUUCAUCCCCUUGUAAGAGUUUUCACUGAUGAAGGGGGUCUUUUAUCUUCAUAUCUUGGGAACUACUGAAACUGUUUCAAAGAGUCAAAGACACCAAUAACUAACAGAAAUUCUUGUUUUCAGGGGCAGAUAAGAAAAGAAACAAUUUGCUGAAACUCCCUCUGCUUGUAACACAACUGACUGAAAUCAGCCGGAAUCAAUAUGGCCAAAUGCAGUUUGCGCACAGCAAGCUUGCUGUUGUCACAGCCUGAAUUUCUACUGCAUGUUUCAUACGAACUCCCUCCAAAUUUGCACAUGGGACCUACCAGGAAGCAUGAAGAGAGAGCCAUGCAUGCCUGAAGACUUCCCAGAUGUUCCCUUUGCUUCCACCAAUCACCUGCUAAUCCCAGGAUCCAACCCUAAACCUUUUGUAAUAAAAUUACUGCCCUAAAGCCAGUACAAGAAGACAGAUUUGAACUGGACUUCUGUUUCCUCAGAAGUUAACUUGCAAUGUGAAGCUUUCCUUUUCUCAAAAACUUGGUGUCAUAGUGUUGGCUUCUAGUGCAGUGAGCCCCUUUUGCUGGAUAACACUACCUGGUAAUUUGACAUACUAGGUGGUUAGUAACUACUGACUGUCUCCAGGUUACAACACAGUUAUUACCUACUUGGGUGAAAAGAGAAGACAGGAAAUACAUUUUGGAGUUGGCUGGCAACCUGUUUACAAAGCGAUUUACAACAGUUCUUUAUUCUUAAGGGGCUAUUCUAAUAUAAGACCUCAGAGAAACAGUGCAGUGUGACAAAGGAGGAAUUUAUCAAAUGAGACAGAAAAAGCAUCAAGGCAAGCUGUGAAAUGGUGCGGUAGGAACCAAAUAGAGAGCCAAAGGAUCUCUCUGUCACUGCAGGCCCUUAGGGAGACGGGGUCUCACUGUAUCAGCUCAGCUGGAGUACAGUGGUGAGAUCAGAGCUCACCGCAGCCUCCGAACUCCUGGUCUCAAGCAAUCCGGACCUCAGCCUCCCAAGUCGUGGGGACUACAGAGAAUGUACAAGUCCUCUGCCACAACGUGAGGGAGAGAAGUCUGCAGACGGCUGACUGGUGACGACUGAACAAGACGGAAAGGCAAGUCGCUAUGCCCGAAGCCUUUGAAGGGAGCCAGCAGGGUCCAUGGGAGGUUCAGGACACAUAUCUGCAGCCCUGCUUCUGGCCUCACCCUUGGGGAAGCCUUUUGCAGGUGAUCCUGGGCCUCUGCUGGGGAAGGCCCCAAGAGGUGAAGCAUCCUCUGCAGAGGAGAGAGCACAUCCGGAGGUAGAAGACAGACCACUGUCUGGGCUCCGUUUAACUGCUGUGAUUUGGGAUUGUAACUUACCCCCGUAAAGCCUCAGUUUCCCACAUGGAAAAUCAAAUCAAUCAUUGUUAUAACAUUUCACUUUUUUGUUAUGUGAUGUAAUUUACACAGUGCUUUCGUAUACGUUAUCCAAUUUAGCGAAAUAAUACAGAGCAAUGCAUUUUGAAAAGAAUAAAAUGCUUAACAU